RNAcentral lists this ribosomal RNA (395 nucleotides) under uncultured Aliivibrio sp. RNAcentral describes it as "bacterial SSU rRNA". It matches the Rfam family "Bacterial small subunit ribosomal RNA", at positions 75 to 474 of the family's 1533-position model. Lineage: Bacteria; Pseudomonadati; Pseudomonadota; Gammaproteobacteria; Vibrionales; Vibrionaceae. The record is from RNAcentral.
CUUGCUAAUUUGCUGACGAGCGGCGGACGGGUGAGUAAUGCCUGGGAAUAUGCCUUAGUGUGGGGGAUAACUAUUGGAAACGAUAGCUAAUACCGCAUAAUGUCUUCGGACCAAAGAGGGGGAUCUUCGGACCUCUCGCGUCAAGAUUAGCCCAGGUGAGAUUAGCUAGUUGGUGGGGUAAGAGCUCACCAAGGCGACGAUCUCUAGCUGGUCUGAGAGGAUGAUCAGCCACACUGGAACUGAGACACGGUCCAGACUCCUACGGGAGGCAGCAGUGGGGAAUAUUGCACAAUGGGCGAAAGCCUGAUGCAGCCAUGCCGCGUGUAUGAAGGAGGCCUUCGGGUUGUAAAGUACUUUCAGUUGUGAGGAAGGGGGUAACGUUAAUAGCGUUAUCU